CUGGCCCUGAAUCAAGGCCGGCAGCUUCCUGACACUACUGGUUUCCAGCAGGAGCCUAAAGAGAUGUCUUUCUAUGGUCUGUUGGCCAUUUCAGAACUUGGGCAGUGAAAUGGUCAACUGAUUAGAAAGAAACAGCU
Cavia aperea (Brazilian guinea pig) is the source of this 137-nucleotide small nucleolar RNA. The record is from Ensembl. Lineage: Eukaryota; Metazoa; Chordata; Mammalia; Rodentia; Caviidae.